Molecule: transfer RNA, 67 nt
Filed under: Salmo salar (Atlantic salmon)
Lineage: Eukaryota; Metazoa; Chordata; Actinopteri; Salmoniformes; Salmonidae
Rfam family: tRNA (bases 7-60)
About the family: Transfer RNA (tRNA) molecules are approximately 80 nucleotides in length.
Source: Rfam by way of RNAcentral
GUUCCCGCUCUUGGUAGAGCAUGGUGUUUGCAACACCAGGGUUGUGGGUUCAAUUCCCAUGGGGACC